This 497-nucleotide ribosomal RNA is filed under the name uncultured bacterium. RNAcentral describes it as "partial 16S ribosomal RNA". It matches the Rfam family "Bacterial small subunit ribosomal RNA", at positions 28 to 507 of the family's 1533-position model. The record is from RNAcentral.
GAUGAACGCUGGCGGCGUGCCUAAUACAUGCAAGUCGAGCGAACAGACGAGGAGCUUGCUCCUCUGACGUUAGCGGCGGACGGGUGAGUAACACGUGGAUAACCUACCUAUAAUACUGGGAUAACUUCGGGAAACCGGAGCUAAUACCGGAUAAUAUAUUGAACCGCAUGGUUGAAUAGUGAAAGACGGCUUUGCUGUCACUUAUAGAUGGAUCCGCGCCGCAUUAGCUAGUUGUUAAGGUAACGGCUUACCAAGGCAACGAUGCGUAGCCGAAGUGAGAGAGUGAUCGGCCACACGGGAGCGGGAACACGGUCCAGGCUACUACGGGAGGCAGCAGAAGGGAAUCUGACGCAGUGGGCGAGAGCAUGACGGAGCAGCGCCGCGUGAGUGAUGAAGAUCUUCGGAGCGUAAAAAUCUGUUAUUAGGGAAAAACAAAUGUGUAAGUAACUAUGCACGUAUUGACGGUACCUAAUAAGAAAGCCACGGCUAACUACGUG